RNAcentral lists this ribosomal RNA (730 nucleotides) under uncultured bacterium. RNAcentral's name for it is "bacterial SSU rRNA". It matches the Rfam family "Bacterial small subunit ribosomal RNA", at positions 771 to 1501 of the family's 1533-position model. The record is from RNAcentral.
AACAGGAUUAGAUACCCUGGUAGUCCACGCCGUAAACGAUGUCGACUUGGAGGUUGUGCCCUUGAGGCGUGGCUUCCGGAGCUAACGCGUUAAGUCGACCGCCUGGGGAGUACGGCCGCAAGGUUAAAACUCAAAUGAAUUGACGGGGGCCCGCACAAGCGGUGGAGCAUGUGGUUUAAUUCGAUGCAACGCGAAGAACCUUACCUGGUCUUGACAUCCACGGAAGUUUUCAGAGAUGAGAAUGUGCCUUCGGGAACCGUGAGACAGGUGCUGCAUGGCUGUCGUCAGCUCGUGUUGUGAAAUGUUGGGUUAAGUCCCGCAACGAGCGCAACCCUUAUCCUUUGUUGCCAGCGGUCCGGCCGGGAACUCAAAGGAGACUGCCAGUGAUAAACUGGAGGAAGGUGGGGAUGACGUCAAGUCAUCAUGGCCCUUACGACCAGGGCUACACACGUGCUACAAUGGCGCAUACAAAGAGAAGCGACCUCGCGAGAGCAAGCGGACCUCAUAAAGUGCGUCGUAGUCCGGAUAGGAGUCUGCAACUCGACUCCAUGAAGUCGGAAUCGCUAGUAAUCGUGGAUCAGAAUGCCACGGUGAAUACGUUCCCGGGCCUUGUACACACCGCCCGUCACACCAUGGGAGUGGGUUGCAAAAGAAGUAGGUAGCUUAACCUUCGGGAGGGCGCUUACCACUUUGUGAUUCAUGACUGGGGUGAAGUCGUAACAAGGUAACC